AGGACGAACGCUGGCGGCGUGCUUAACACAUGCAAGUCGAGCGGUAAGGCCCUUUCGGGGGUACACGAGCGGCGAACGGGUGAGUAACACGUGGGUGACCUGCCCUUAGCUCUGGGAUAAGCCUGGGAAACUGGGUCUAAUACCGGAUAUGACCUCGCGAUGCAUGUCGUGGGGUGGAAAGCCUUGUGCGGCUAGGGAUGGGCCCGCGGCCUAUCAGCUUGUUGGUGGGGUGAUGGCCUACCAAGGCGACGACGGGUAGCCGGCCUGAGAGGGCGACCGGCCACACUGGGACUGAGACACGGCCCAGACUCCUACGGGAGGCAGCAGUGGGGAAUCUUGCGCAAUGGGCGAAAGCCUGACGCAGCGACGCCGCGUGAGGGAUGACGGCCUCGGGUUGUAACCUCUUUCAGCCCUGACGAAGCGAAAGUGACGGUAGGGCGAGAAGAAGCACCGGCCAACUACGCGCCAGCAGCCGC
RNAcentral lists this ribosomal RNA (476 nucleotides) under uncultured bacterium. RNAcentral's name for it is "SSU rRNA". It matches the Rfam family "Bacterial small subunit ribosomal RNA", at positions 26 to 518 of the family's 1533-position model. The record is from RNAcentral.